This 1347-nucleotide long non-coding RNA is filed under the name Sus scrofa (pig). RNAcentral describes it as "lncRNA (ENSSSCG00050070366.1)". Lineage: Eukaryota; Metazoa; Chordata; Mammalia; Artiodactyla; Suidae. The record is from RNAcentral.
AGUGGAUGGGGUUGGUGGCGGCGGGGGCGGGGGGGAGGCGGGGGUCAGGCGUGCAGAGCGGUGGGGGGGAGUGUGCACUACUGGUGCAGGAGGGAAUCUUUAGGGAAUAAUUUUUCACUGUGCCCAAACAGUUCUGCAAACACGAAACACCAAAAAUAAAAACACAAAGCUAAUAUCUAUUAAAUGCAUAAGUGAGAAGGACAGAUUGAAGGGACGCGAGAAGGGGGAGAGCAUAAGGGGGAGAAGUUUGAGAGGAGGAAAGGAGGGAGAGACGGGAGGCAGGCACUUCGGAUAGAAUGCUGCGGGCUCCGUGGCCUCUAUCUAAAAUUCUGUGAGUAAAUAACUGUACAAGUGCUCUUUUCUUAUUCUUGAAGCCUCGAGACUGACAAUUUUUGCUCAAAUCCCGAUAAAGUGAUUUAUUUAAAAGUGCUUCUUUCCAGAAAUCCACAAAAUGGAGUCAAAUAGUCUCUUCUCUACUCCCACCAUCAAUUUUUGUUAUCUACACCAGCAAGGGAGUGGUGUUUAUGCUUUUUUUCUGUCUCGACUAUGUAAAGAAGAAAUCUGUUUUUUAUCAAGUAUGCGUUGACUUUUUUAAAAAUAUCAUAGUAUAAAACAUCAAAAUAUAUAAACUGAGAUAACUUCUUUAAAUGAGAAAAACAUCUGUAGAUAGGAAAAUUAAUCAUCUUGCCAGACGGCACCCCCAAAUCUAAGGGGUUGAAAGUACAUAAUCAUCUGUUCUCACAUCUCAUAGGAACUAAGGGGGCUAACCGAUAUAUUUCAUAACAGGAUCUCAAGAGUCUCUUGAAUUUUUGAGCCAACAAAAAAGAACACAUGCUAGAUUUUCUUCUUUCCCAUAUUGAAGAGGCAUCGGUUUCUUUCCAUAUAUUCACACCAGGUUGACCACACCAUGUUUUUGAUCAUUUCUUCUAUCAUGUGGUACUUUGCUCAAUUAGCAUGCAAAACCACUUUAUGUAGCUAAAAAAUUCUACCAAACACCCUAUCAUCACAAAUCAAAUGAGAAGAAGCUCUGAAACUAAGACUCCUGUGGUUCCCCACAGGCACGAGAGAAACCCAGUCCUCAUUCCCGUCGUGGCGCAGUGGUUAACGAAUCCGACUAGGAACCAUGGGGUUGCCGGUUCGAUCCCUGGCCUUGCUCAGUGGGUUAAGGAUCCUGCGUUGCCAUGAGCUGUGGUGUGGGUUGCAGACAUGGCUCGGAUCCCCCAUUGUUGUGGCCCUGGCGUAGGCCGGUGGCUACAGCUGCGAUUAGACCCAUAGCCUGGGAACCUCCAUAUGCCCUGGGAGCAGCCCUAGAAAAGGCAAAAGGACAAAAAAAAAAAAAAAAAAAAA